RNAcentral lists this ribosomal RNA (379 nucleotides) under Tropaprionus sp. JSMJ9. RNAcentral's name for it is "partial 12S ribosomal RNA". The record is from RNAcentral. Lineage: Eukaryota; Metazoa; Arthropoda; Insecta; Diptera; Cecidomyiidae.
UAUUUUUUAUUUUAAAAUUAUUUAAUCAAUAUAUUAAAUAUAUAAAAUUAAAAAUUUUGGCAGUAUUUUAUUGUAUUAGAGGAAUUUGUUCUAUAAUUGAUAAUCCACUUUAAAUUUUACUUUAUUUAGAAAUUUAUAUAUCGUUGUCAAAAAUUUUUCUAUUACUAGAUAAAUUUUAUAAAUAAAUUUAUUUUUAAAUAUGUCAAAUCAAGAUAUAAUUUAUAAUAAUGAUUGAAAUGAAUUACAUUAAAUUUAAUAUUACGAAUUUAAAAUUGAAAAAUUUUUUUAAAGGUGGAUUUAAAAGUAAAAUAUUUUAAAUUAAUAAAUUGAAUAAUAAUUAAAAUAUGUACAUAUUGCCCGUCACUUUCAAUAUGAAAAA